UACGUAGGGUGCAAGCGUUAAUCGGAAUUACUGGGCGUAAAGCGUGCGCAGGCGGUUUUGUAAGUCAGGUGUGAAAUCCCCGGGCUCAACCUGGGAACUGCAUUUGUGACUGCACAGCUGGAGUGCGGUAGAGGGGGAUGGAAUUCCGCGUGUAGCAGUGAAAUGCGUAGAUAUCGGGAGGAACAUCAGUGGCGAAGGCGGCCCUCUGGUCCAGUACUGACACUCAAGUGCGAAAGCGUGGGGAGCAAACAGG
This 253-nucleotide ribosomal RNA is filed under the name uncultured bacterium. RNAcentral's name for it is "partial 16S ribosomal RNA". It matches the Rfam family "Bacterial small subunit ribosomal RNA", at positions 524 to 776 of the family's 1533-position model. The record is from RNAcentral.